GAUGAACGCUGGCGGCGUGCCUAAUACAUGCAAGUCGAACGAGUUCUCGUUGAUGAUCGGUGCUUGCACCGAGAUUCAACAUGGAACGAGUGGCGGACGGGUGAGUAACACGUGGGUAACCUGCCCUUAAGUGGGGGAUAACAUUUGGAAACAGAUGCUAAUACCGCAUAGAUCCAAGAACCGCAUGGUUCUUGGCUGAAAGAUGGCGUAAGCUAUCGCUUUUGGAUGGACCCGCGGCGUAUUAGCUAGUUGGUGAGGUAAUGGCUCACCAAGGCGAUGAUACGUAGCCGAACUGAGAGGUUGAUCGGCCACAUUGGGACUGAGACACGGCCCAAACUCCUACGGGAGGCAGCAGUAGGGAAUCUUCCACAAUGGACGCAAGUCUGAUGGAGCAACGCCGCGUGAGUGAAGAAGGCUUUCGGGUCGUAAAACUCUGUUGUUGGAGAAGAAUGGUCGGCAGAGUAACUGUUGUCGGCGUGACGGUAUCCAACCAGAAAGCCACGGCUAACUACGUGCCAGCAGCCGCGGUAAUACGUAGGUGGCAAGCGUUAUCCGGAUUUAUUGGGCGUAAAGCGAGCGCAGGCGGUUUUUUAAGUCUGAUGUGAAAGCCCUCGGCUUAACCGAGGAAGCGCAUCGGAAACUGGGAAACUUGAGUGCAGAAGAGGACAGUGGAACUCCAUGUGUAGCGGUGAAAUGCGUAGAUAUAUGGAAGAACACCAGUGGCGAAGGCGGCUGUCUGGUCUGUAACUGACGCUGAGGCUCGAAAGCAUGGGUAGCGAACAGGAUUAGAUACCCUGGUAGUCCAUGCCGUAAACGAUGAAUGCUAGGUGUUGGAGGGUUUCCGCCCUUCAGUGCCGCAGCUAACGCAUUAAGCUUUCCGCCUGGGGAGUACGACCGCAAGGUUGAAACUCAAAGGAAUUGACGGGGGCCCGCACAAGCGGUGGAGCAUGUGGUUUAAUUCGAAGCAACGCGAAGAACCUUACCAGGUCUUGACAUCUUUUGAUCACCUGAGAGAUCAGGUUUCCCCUUCGGGGGCAAAAUGACAGGUGGUGCAUGGUUGUCGUCAGCUCGUGUCGUGAGAUGUUGGGUUAAGUCCCGCAACGAGCGCAACCCUUAUGACUAGUUGCCAGCAUUUAGUUGGGCACUCUAGUAAGACUGCCGGUGACAAACCGGAGGAAGGUGGGGAUGACGUCAAAUCAUCAUGCCCCUUAUGACCUGGGCUACACACGUGCUACAAUGGAUGGUACAACGAGUUGCGAGACCGCGAGGUCAAGCUAAUCUCUUAAAGCCAUUCUCAGUUCGGACUGUAGGCUGCAACUCGCCUACACGAAGUCGGAAUCGCUAGUAAUCGCGGAUCAGCACGCCGCGGUGAAUACGUUCCCGGGCCUUGUACACACCGCCCGUCACACCAUGAGAGUUUGUAACACCCGAAGCCGGUGGCGUAACCCUUUUAGGGAGCGAGCCGUCUAAGGUGGGACAAAUGAUUAGGGUG
RNAcentral lists this ribosomal RNA (1492 nucleotides) under Lacticaseibacillus paracasei. RNAcentral describes it as "bacterial SSU rRNA". It matches the Rfam family "Bacterial small subunit ribosomal RNA". Lineage: Bacteria; Bacillati; Bacillota; Bacilli; Lactobacillales; Lactobacillaceae. The record is from RNAcentral.